UGAGCCAUUAGCUCAGUCGGUAGAGCAUCUGACUUUUAAUCAGAGGGUCGAAGGUUCGAGUCCUUCAUGGCUCAU
RNAcentral lists this transfer RNA (75 nucleotides) under Aeromicrobium ponti. RNAcentral's name for it is "tRNA-Lys". It matches the Rfam family "tRNA". From Rfam's summary of the family: Transfer RNA (tRNA) molecules are approximately 80 nucleotides in length. Their secondary structure includes four short double-helical elements and three loops (D, anti-codon, and T loops). RNAcentral also lists the same sequence under 5 other names. Lineage: Bacteria; Bacillati; Actinomycetota; Actinomycetes; Propionibacteriales; Nocardioidaceae. The record is from RNAcentral.